AGUACAUUGUUAUUAACUAUUGUCACCAUGUGGCACAAUAGAUCUCUGAAACUUCUUCCUCCCACCCAACUGAAAGUUUGCAUUCUUUCACCAUCUCCCCAUUCCAACAGAUAACCACCACUCUACUCUCUGCUUCUGUGAGUUCCACUUUGUUAGCUUCUACACGUGAGAUCACGCAGUGUUUGUUUUCUUGUGCUCUAGGCUGGAUCUUGGUCAUCAGCCCAAUGACAAGCAGAGCAAAGGCCCAGAAGUUAGGGAGACCAGGGCUCAGUGUGGCUGGCACUGAGAACUGAGCUUCGAGUGUGGGCCCCCACAUACAUUUAGGACUCUAGCCAAUUUUCCCUUCAGAACCACGAUGAAGAAAUGAAAGCCAAGGCCAAGAAAAUCUUUAAUGUUCUGUUCCUCCCCUGUUUGGGAAGCAGAGUGGUCUGAUGGCUCCAACAGAAUCUGUGCCAUAACCAAGUCUCAUCUGGGGCAAGGUACAUAACUGCUCAUGAAAUAGGAGUGAUCACAGUGCUUCCCCCAGAGGGUUUUUGUGAGGGUUAAAUAAGAAUUUUGUGGGACAUAGUAAUCACUCAGUAAAUGUUCUGGUCUGAGAGUGACCAAAAGGAUGGAACUAGAGAUAUUUGGGCAUGAAUGUCUGUGUUCCCCUAAAAUUCAUAUGUGGAAAUCCUAACCCCCAAGGCAAUCGUGGGGCCUUUGGGAGGUGACUAGGCCAUGAAGGUAGGGGGCCCCAUUAAUGGGAUUAGUGUCUCAUAGAAGAGAUCCUAGAGUCACCCCUAGGCCUUUCCCCUCACUGUGAGGUUACAGUGAGAAGAUGACCUUCUGUGAACCAGGAAGCAGGCUGCUGGCAUCUUGAUCUCAGACUUUCUAGCCUACAGAACUGUGAGAGAUUUCUGUAGCUUAUAAGCCACCCAGUCUAUACUUCGUAUAACAGACCAAAGACAAUAUUAAAAAUAACUUCCUGAUUAGAAGCACUAUGAAAUGCUAGACUACGCAUGGAACCAAGAAGUUUUAUUUAUUUAUUUAUUAUUUAUUUUUUAUUUAUUUUUUUUUGAGACGGAGUCUCGCUGUGUCGCCCAGGCUGGAGUGCAGUGGCUCGAUCUCGGCACACUGCAAGCUCCGCCUCCCGGGUUCACGCCAUUCUCCCGCCUCAGCCUCCGAGUAGCUGGGACUACAGGCGCCCGCCACCACGCCCGGCUAGUUUUUUUGUAUUUUUAGUAGAGACGGGGUUUCACCAUGUUAGCCAGGAUGGUCUCGAUCUCCUGACCUCAUGAUCCACCCGUCUCGGCCUCCCAAAGUGCUGGGAUUACAGGCUUGAGCCACCGCGCCCGGCCCUAUUUAUUUAUUUUUUGAGACAGAGUCUCACUCUGUUGCCUAGGCUGGAGCGCAGUGGCUCAGUCUCGGCUCACUGCAACUUCCGCCUCCCGGGUUCAAGUGAUUCUCUUGCCUCAGCCUCCUGAGUAGUUGGGAUUACAGGCACCAACCGCCACGCCCGGUUAAUUUUUGUGUUUUUAGUAGAGAUGGGGUUUCACCAUGUUGGCAGGCUGGUCUCGAAAUCCUGACCUCAGGUGAUCUGCCCACCUCGGCCUCCCAAAGGCAUAAGCCACCGUUCCUGGCCAACCAAGAGGUUUUAAGGAAAAAAGCCAUAAACUUUUGGUGGUUAAUUGACUGUGACCCUAAACAGAGGCAGGGGCUGCGUGCAAUGACUUCUCAGGAUCUCUUUCAGCCUACAGGUUCCUGGAAUGCAUUUCAGCUAACACAACAACAGUGAUGUCCCUUGCUAUUGAGAACCCUGGGAACAGCUCAGCUCCAUGGUCCAGCCAUAUAAAUCUGAUAAAAAUAGGAGCUGAAAUACCAUCCUGGAGUUGCUAUUUUUAAAAGCAUCUGAGAUGCUGGAUGGGGUGUAUUUCUUCCUCAAACACAUCUUGCUGUUCCCUCCUCUUGGUGGGCAGGAUACUAACGUGGCACAUGAGACAGGAGCUGUUCCAUGCUGCUGCUCACACCCACUCCUGCCAGAGAAGGGCCGCAGGGCCAGGGCUUCCCAGGUCUAGAUGCACCUGCUCCUCCCUCUGCUCCUGAGGCCCCUCUGGUUGCCCCAGCACAGAGGUGUCCUGCCACUUCCACCAAGGAGAAACACAGGAGAGUUUGGGAGGCAAAGGAAAUGGGAAUGGAGGCAGCACUGGUGGCUUGGAAGGGGCAUGUUCCUCAGGUUACCUUGGCCCCACUUUGGCACAGUUAACAUCCAAAAGAAAUGGUCCCCAUGGGCCAAAGCCCUGCUUACCCCAUCCUACUGCCUCUUGCUGAGCUGCUCA
This 2315-nucleotide long non-coding RNA is filed under the name Macaca fascicularis (crab-eating macaque). RNAcentral describes it as "lncRNA (ENSMFAG00000060581.1)". The record is from RNAcentral. Lineage: Eukaryota; Metazoa; Chordata; Mammalia; Primates; Cercopithecidae.